UCUAUCCCAUUUUGUAGGUGAGGAGCUCCUCCAAGUUUAAGCCUCGUUUGAGUUCGAGACUCAAUUCUUUCCGAAUUAUGGUGGGUACUUCGGUCAGUUGCCUUGGAGAAAAUCUUUACUAUUGAUGUCACUUCAAGUUUUUACUGUAGGCACCGGGGGCGAAUUUUGCCGGUAGAUGUCCUGUCGGAUUUUUGCCGCAGACAACUUUGUCCCAACUUUUUAUUACGGACAUCCUAGAGGAAAUCUAGAUGUUACUUCAUUUUUUUUUACUGAAGUCAUCUGAAACCACUAUUCUUGAACAUCUCGUUGCAGUGGGUUUUUCUCCUGAUUUCUUGGCUGGAAUCCUUUUCUGUCUGAUGACAUUUUUUUUCUUUUUUCUUAACUUCGGAGAUGGCCAAUAUACUCAGAGUUGAUGUGGAGUAGAGGGGCGGUCUUCGAUAUCAUUAUCCACUUGGGCGAGGCAUUCCCGGAUGCUUUCUUGAACCAGUAGUUCAUACUGGACUUCUUCUAGGUAGUUGUGGAUGUUUAAAAGGGGUUCCCUUGAACUUUCUUCAACCUGAACAUCUACCUCUAAUUCGGUGGUUACCCGAAUCCUGCCGUUCGACCAACAUUUCUGAUGCUCCAAUUCCUUUGCUUUAUAGUACAGUUCAACAUAAGAAGAGAUUUUGCAUUUCUUAAGGUCAAAUGCAUCUAAGCGGUCCUUUUCCUCUGUUAUAGAUCCUUUGGGCAUAUCUUCGCCAUGGCCAAGUCAUCUGAUAUGGACGCAUCACCUCUGCUAUUUCUCGUUCUUCUAUUCCACUAUAGAUUUCUACCUUUAAAAAAUCUUCAUCUCCUUUUACUUCAUAUAGCAGAGUAGCCACCACUGCGGAAAAUAUUUGAAGGGUGGCAAAGCAGUCUAGCGAAAUCAACCUAAUAAGCCCUUUGUUCAUGGCUCUGAUCUGGUUCUCAUUGGUGAAGGUGUUUAAAGAGUGUAUAGCUAGCUUGGGAAAUUUGAGGUCGUUUAUUAGGAACAUUUUUAGUUCCAUGAACAAUCUGUUGAUCUUAUGAGGUUGUGUUGCCAGAUCGUGCAUAACUUCUAGGAGUUCUUUGGUUAGAACAUUUUGAGCCUUUUCCUAACAAGUCUAGCCUUUUGAAUUUGACCAUUGAGGGUGUCCCUGUUAGGUUACAAAGACCAUAGAGUGUAAUUAGUUCCGGAUUUCCUUCAGAUGAUUGUUCGCCUGACACUUUAAUCUGUUCCUUAAUAGUUCUUAGUGUUUUCUCUUUUUCUGCUAAAUGGUGAACUAGGCUUGUCAUAGCCCCCCUAAUAUCUUUUUUUUGUUUAAGAUAUGAUUUUCCUAGAUUCCAUUUCUAUGGAAUAAGUUUCAGAAGAAACCCCUGGGUUAAAAAUGGGAGAUAUUAGCUGGGUUUCAGCUCAGUGCAUUUUCUUCUCAGUCUCCCUUUGGGGUAGUUUUCCCAAUGAUUGUCAUUUUGGAAUUGGAAUGGUAUGCACCUUCUUGUGUUCCAUUUCCCUACAAAAAUUCAUGGGAGACGAAGUCAGAAAGGGAGUUUGUUAUCCCUUUUAUAUAUUCGAUGUUAAUCAAAGCAUUAGCGUAUUGCUUGCCAUCAGGCAAAGAUUUGUUAAGAUACUAGAUUUUUAAUAAUUUUUUGUAAAACAUCUUUUGCUGCAUUACAGGUGAUGCAUAGGAGAAUGCAUUGGUUUAACAAAUCUCCCUAAAGUUUUGUAAUGACUUUGAAGCUGGGAAGUAUUUUUGUUUAAUUGUCGAAUACUUCUUAUGCGUAUCAUUCCAAGUGCGAGAGGUAAAUCUUACCAACUGCGCCUUGUUAUCCCUUCUUUUGUUCAGUGAACAUCCAUAUUCAUGGUCAGAUGCAUUUGUUUCAAUGAUUUUAAAUACAUCUUAAUGAAGUUUUAGAUAGGAAAGGUAUUUUAACUUUUCUUUUAUUUGUCUUAUUGAUUUUGCAUGUUACUCCAUCCAUGCAGCUGGAUUUUUCUUCAAUCGAUCUGUUAAAAUUUAUUUAUCCUUUGCAAGAGAUUCAUAAAACUCGAAAAUAUAAUUAAGGCAUCCUAAGAAUCUUUGCAACUAUUUUUUAUCAUUAAUUUCAUUAGGAUGUUUAUCUGUAAAUUAUGUAACUCUAUUUAUGAGAGCGAUUUGAUCAUACAUAAUCUAAAAUCCUAAAAACUGUGUUUCUGCUUGAAAUAGUUUUAUGUUUCCUGUAGAAACAGCUAAUCCAUUUCUUAUUAUUACUUUACAAAAUAUAUUGAGGUGUUUCUAGUGUUGGUCUAUAUUUUUUGAAAAUAAUUAGUAUAUCAUCAAUAUAUACUAUGACAAAACUAGUAUAUGGAAGAAAUAUUUCAGUCGUGAUCUUUUGAAAUUUCGGAGGGUACAUUCUUUAAUCUGAAAAGCAUUACGUUCUAUUUGUAAUAUCCAAAAGGGAUGGUAAACACCGUUUUGUAACGGUCGUCUUCUUUUAUUUGGAUUUGCCAGGAUAACAAUUUCAUAUCAAACUUAGAGUAUAUUCGAGAUCCUUGGAUCCUCUUAUGAGAUCUUGCUUGUUAGGAAUUGGAUAUCUCAUCCAUUGUAAUACUUUGUUUUGAGGCAUGUAGUUGAUUACUAGCCUAGGGACUCCUCUUUCCUUUUCAGCCGCAUUUUCGUUAUAGAAUGCAGCACAGCUCCAAGGAGAGGAGCUUUUUCUAAUUUGUUUUUUCUCAAGUAAAAAUUCGCUUUCAUCUUUGCAUAUUUCUAAAAGUCUUUGAUUCAUUUGUAUAGGCCUAGCCCUAGUCAAAAUUUUUUGUUCAUCAAACUCAGGAACAGAAGGUAAGCUUAUUUGAUAUUUUUUUCGGUACCAAAAUAUUGAGUGUAGCUCAGCACAAAUGCUCUCUUUAAAUUGAUUUUUCAAAGCCCUCUUGGAACUUAGGAUUGGAUAGGGCUUUAUCUAUCCUAGUAUUUUGUAUUUCAUAUGAUAGCUCAUUAACAAACCUUUCUUUGUAUUCAAUCACUUCUUUUAGCUUAUUGAGAAAAGAUGCUUCAAGUUUGGAACAAAAUUUGAAUAUUUGCCAUUUACCAUCAAUUUGGGUUGUAAUACCCUCUUCUAUCACUGUAAAGGGGAUUUCUAGAAUAACUCCUUGUCAUAGAUUUUUAACUAAUAAGAAUGUUGUCUUAAUAUAGGUUUUUCUUAUAUAGACAUGAAUAUCUGGGAUUUUUUUAAAACUUACCCUAAGUUCUCCACCAUUGCCUGUAUAAACUUUAUGGGUUGAUUUUUUAAAGUACCUGGAAGGGAUUAAUCUUCCUCUAAUGCAGUUUACAUUAGCUCCUGAGUCUACUAGAGUUCUGUGUUUGAAUUAAAUUUCUUUAAUUUUAUACUGGAUUUCACAAUACCAUUUGGGUUUCAUGAAUCUUUCUAUAGAGCAUGUAAACUCUAAAAGUUCUCUUGUACUAAGUGGUUCUUGUCUGAUUCUACGAUCUGCUCUAGUUCUUCAUCCAUCCUUUCCUCGGAUUCUCUUAUUUUCAAAAGUUCUAACUUUUCCUUUAAUAAUUGUAUUUUUUUAUUAGGUUUUUUCCCUUAAUAAGUUGUCAGGACUCGUUUUCUUAUUACUCUACUUGGACUUCCUUAGUCUUUUGAAGACUUCAUCAAGAGAAUUGAAAUCAUGCCUUUUUUUCAAAAAUUUGGAGGGAUUUUACCUCCUGACCCUUUGUCAUGGUAAAGAACUUGGUGAGCUGAUUCCUUCACUCCUCUAGGUCUUUUAGAGAAUCGAUCAUAUUUAUAAUAAACUAUUCUUCAUUAGUCAAUACCAUUACAUCAGCAUCACUGGAUUGACCUUUCGCUGUAAUAUUCAUCAUGGCAUGAACAACUUUUGAUUUCAUCUUCCUCUUCAAUGUCUAGGUUUAGAUUACUAAUGAGGUCUUCUAAUUUUUCUUUUAUUUCAUCGAGGUUGUUACCUUUGGCAAUCUCUUAAAUUUUCUUCUUGAUUUCUCUUUUAUUGCAUCUGUUUGCGUUAUGUCCUCUUCGCUUGCAUUUGUAGUAGGUUGGAGUUUUCGGUGGAGGUGGUGUCCAUUUCUUUCCUCCUUUUCCAUAUACUUUGUCAAUCUUUCUUUUGGGAUUUUUCGGAGCUUUUUUAUCAUAAUACUUCUUCUUAUAUUCUUUUGAUUUUUUGUUUCUUUUGAUAUGGUUUGUCUUGUUGGAAUCCAAAUUGAUAGCAAAAAUCACCUAGCUCUUUCUUCCCAUCAUCUUCUAUUUUUUCAAUUGAUCCUGAAUUUUUAGGUAAUUACACAGUUCAACCCCAACUCUCUAAAUUUUUUGGGCUACUUUGCCCAUGUCUAACUGGCUAUAAAAUAUUCUUCCUUCACCCUCAUUUCUUAAAUGAGUCUUAACCUUUUUUCCAAAUAAGAGUCGAAGAACCAAGAUGAAUUUCUCUUUCCAAAAGUGAAAGAGUACAUUUAGGAUUAAUGUCUGAUGGUUGAUUUGUCAAAAAAAAUGUUGUCAGGGUCUCUCUUUACAGAGUUCAGGAUUUCUUGCGACUGUUGUCCCAAAAAGCCCGCAACUACCAUCUGAGCCGCAACCUUUUCUGAGUUUCCAUGGACUUUUAUAAGCAUUAGAAUACAUAAUCAUCUGAUGACAUAUGGUGAAUAUUUGGUAUUUUGUAAAUACAUCAAGAUUCUAUUCGACCAGGCUUCUUCUGUCAAACUGAACUGCAACUUCAGUGUCGGGUGUUUCCUCGAACUGCAAGUCUGCAUGUGUGGGUCUAGGAUAAUAAUUUUAAUCUUAGAGGCUUAAACUAUUUGUUCAUAGGCUGAGAUUUUAUUUACCUCAUCAUCCUUUAUGGGUUUUCUUGGUGAUUUGUCUUCUCUUUCUUCUGAAGGAGUAUCCUCUUCUGAGUUUUUUUCUUCAGAAUUUUCUUUAGAUAGAUGAUUUAUUGUGUCUUUAAUUUUAAGAGAAGACUCCUCAUUGAUAAUUCAUGAAUUAAUUUCUCCAAAAAGGACAGUCCUAGUUUUACUCCUGAGUCCGACUCAUGAGAUGUAAACAUAGGGGCAACAUUUUUUAAUGAAGAUGUUUUACUAUUUUUUUGGGGUGGCUUAACUUGUUUUAGUUGAGGAAUCUUUUUACCAUCAGGGACAGUAUGUACUAUCAUAUCUGUCUCUUCUUUCUUUUCCAGAAGGAUUGUUUCAAUUUUCUUCAUUUGCUUUUCUAUUGAUCUAAGAGCUAUAUUUGUGAAGUUUUGUUACUCCACUAUUUGUUCCAAAUGAUCGAUCUUGGUGGUUUCGUUAAGUCCUUUAGUGCAUACUUUUAAUGGACUAGCUCGUACUCCUCCUACUUAUAUGGUUUUGAAGGGCGGAUUUACAAACUCCACUUCAACCCCUCUAGCUAUCUUCCAUGUGUUUGAAAGAUAUUUGAUAACUGCUACCUGUAUGUCUGCGGAACAGCUCAAGCCCUUACAAAAUAUUCAUUUUCAUACCAAUCAAAAAAGAGAAUGUUCCUUUCUUCUACCCUCAUUUGAUGUGGUAUAUUUCUCUGAUGAAGCUUUAUUUUGCUUCAUCGUUGGUUCUAAAGAGCCAUAGUCUCUUUUCUCUAUUGGCUUUAGAGUUGAAGUCUUUUCUUAAUAAUUCUUUAUCAAUUUGGAAUUCCUCUAACUCAAUAACAUUUACCUAAAAUUCCGAGAUGGAUUUUAUGUAAUUUUUUAGAUCUAUACUUUUAUAUCAACUUUGUCUUCUGUCACUCUACCUAAUUUUUCUCAGAUAGAGAGCUUGAUCAAAAUUUUAUUCGUAAAUAAAACUUUCGAUUUGACCAACCCAUUUCAGGACCUAAACGAUGGAAUUUCAUCUCAGAUUCAACCCCCUAGGGUGUUAACCUAAAGUUAUAGAUCUCGAAAGGUUAUUUCAUUUCAAAAAAAAAAAAAAAUCUCAAUUGAGCGUCGUAUGACCAACUUAUGGCCUCUAGAAGUUUCUCCUCUAAUUCGGCUUCCUGUUGUGGUAGAUCUUGCUUCUGAAUCAUAUCCAGUCCUGUUCAUCGUAGUUAAAGUAAUCUAUAUCAGGUUUAAGGAUCCUUCUGAAUCAGCAAAAGAUAAGAAGAUGGAUAAUAAAUUAAUAUACACUCUCUCUAAUUGAACUCUCUUGGGUUUGCUCAACCAUACACCACUGAAAGAGCUGUUUCACCCUUCUCAUUUCUCAAAGGACAAUUGUUAAGCCCUUCACUCCAAGCUUUCCUGAGCCCCAAGGUCUCAUUUUUUUGAUAAUAUUAGUUCUAUCGUAGUGAGCGGAAAACUAGCUCCUGUGUCUCUCUAGAAAACAAUCGGAAGCACCGUCCUCAUUCUGUACGGAGAUCGAAAGAUGUGUUGAUUGCGAACUAUCAUAUAAACCUAGUCAGAAUUAAAGACCGCGCAACUUGUAUAAAGAUGAGAUGAGACAUGAGUGGCUGUUCCAAGGAAAUUUGUUAAUAGGAGAUGGCUGUGAGUUGUCUUUGAGUCCACUGUUUGUUUUCUGCUCCAAAAAUACAUCUAAACGUAAGAACAAAUCUGCUGCUUUAUUCUACCAGAAAGUGAUUAACAUAAAAUUCAUGCUAUUAGUUUUAAUAUUAGUAUGUUUUAGUAUAAUCUUGAAAAAGGAAAAGUCAUCAUUAAUUUUAUUAAAUAAUGUCUAUAACAGAACCAUGUGUCUGCACAUAGAUUAAUUAAGGAGAAAUUCUAGCGCAAGAAAUGAAUUCCAGCUCCUGUUGCCUCACAUUUUUAUUUCCUUGAGAGGCCGCCUAAAUUAGAGAAUACUCUCAGCUACAGUUAUUCCCUUCCAAUACAAGGCCAACAUUUAGGAAUUUAUUCGUACUCCAAAUAAACCCAACUCAAACCGUCGACCAGUGCCAUCAGGUGAGCUAAGUUCUUCUAGAAACGCAGAAGGAAUGGGGGGAAAUUUGCAAGAAAAAGGGACGAGGCAAAGAAUCGCCAAUACCUUCAGCUCCCAGUGAUGACUUGCCUGCCUCCAAAGGAUGAUGCUCCUGGGAACGGAGAGAUGCACGAUCCAAGCUUCGCAGAAGGUGGUGAGUACAAAAGCCGGAGUCACUCCUAUGGGGAGCCUUAAAUCAAAAACAAGGAGCCCCAAGUCGGUAAGCCAACCUUACUAAGGUAGGGAACUGAGCAUAGCCAGAAUGGCUGGCUAAGCUACUGGUGAUAGGAGCAUAUGAAGGUAUAAUAUUC
RNAcentral lists this long non-coding RNA (7177 nucleotides) under Phoenix dactylifera (date palm). RNAcentral's name for it is "long non-coding RNA (PDAC_LNC005316)". The record is from RNAcentral. Lineage: Eukaryota; Viridiplantae; Streptophyta; Magnoliopsida; Arecales; Arecaceae.